AUGCACUGUAGCCAUUGCAGAGACCCUAACCACAAGAGGCCAGGUUGCCCUAUCCUACAUCCAGAACUGAAACUUCAACCACAAAGAAGAAACAAUGAAGAAGAUAUUGAUGAUCCUUCUAUUUUAGAGCAUAUUGUUCCUGAAGAGGGCAUUCCUGAGUUAAUUCCAACACAAUGCAGUGAAACUCUAGUUGACGAACUGCUAGUAGAAGAAAUCACUGAGUUGGAGAAUUUUCACAGUCGAAGGAAAGGUCCACUGCCUAGCAAUGCUUUCGUUGAAGAGCACAUAAAUAAUAUUCCUGCUCCAAGGGCAACAACAGCAACAAGGGGAGGGAUGGCCAUAGCAAGGGGAAGAGGAAAGGGGAGAGGAAGGGGAAGAGGAAGAGCAACUAGCUCUGCUACAAGUACUUCUAUACUUGAUGAUGUUGUGCCAACUACCAGAGGGAGAGCAAGAGCGAGAGGCACUACAAGGAGAGCAAGUACAAGCAGGGUCACAGGAAGUAUUUCUGUAGUUAAUGAUGCUAUAGGAGCAAGUGGUGCUGCUUCAAACAUGGUAGAUGAUGUCCCAAGAGCAAGCACAAGAAGACCAAGAAGUGGAGGAAGAGGAGAUGGUGCAGCCAGAGAGAGAGAGAGAGAAGUAUCAAACACGGAAGAUUGUACCACUUGCUCUUUGGGUCUCAUUAGUUAA
Molecule: ribosomal RNA, 687 nt
Filed under: Triticum aestivum (bread wheat)
Lineage: Eukaryota; Viridiplantae; Streptophyta; Magnoliopsida; Poales; Poaceae
Description: partial small subunit ribosomal RNA
Source: RNAcentral